Molecule: non-coding RNA, 84 nt
Filed under: Clostridium sp.
Lineage: Bacteria; Bacillati; Bacillota; Clostridia; Eubacteriales; Clostridiaceae
Also listed under: 1 other name
Description: c-di-GMP-II sequence
Rfam family: Cyclic di-GMP-II riboswitch aptamer
Source: RNAcentral
AUUUGAAUUGGAAGCUGUGAAAAAUUCUCUUUAUUUGGGCACUUUGAGAAUUUAGAGCUAAUUGUGCAACCGACCAGUUAAAAC